GACGAACGCUGGCGGCGUGCUUAACACAUGCAAGUCGAACGGAAAGGCCCUGCUUUUGUGGGGUGCUCGAGUGGCGAACGGGUGAGUAACACGUGAGUAACCUGCCCUUGACUUUGGGAUAACUUCAGGAAACUGGGGCUAAUACCGGAUAGGAGCUCCUGCUCCACGGGGGGGGUUGGAAAGUUUCGGCGGUGGGGGAUGGACUCUCGGCUUACCAGCUUGUUGGGGGGGUAGUGGCUUACCAAGCCUUUGACGGGUAGCCGGCCUUAGAGGGCGACCGGCCACAUUGGGCCUGAGAUACGGCCCAGACUCCUACGGGAGGCAGCAGUGGGGAAUAUUGCACAAUGGGCGGAAGCCUGAUGCAGCAACGCCGCGUGCGGGAUGACGGCCUUCGGGUUGUAAACCGCUUUCGCCUGUGACGAAGCGUGAGUGACGGUAAUGGGUAAAGAAGCACCGGCUAACUACGUG
This 468-nucleotide ribosomal RNA is filed under the name uncultured bacterium. Its description in RNAcentral is "partial 16S ribosomal RNA". It matches the Rfam family "Bacterial small subunit ribosomal RNA", at positions 28 to 507 of the family's 1533-position model. The record is from RNAcentral.